GCCUAACACAUGCAAGCUGAGCGGGGAAGGGUAGCUUGCUACCUGACCUAGCGGCGGACGGGUGAGUAAUGCUUAGGAAUCUGCCUAUUAGUGGGGGACAACAUUCCGAAAGGAAUGCUAAUACCGCAUACGCCCUACGGGGGAAAGCAGGGGAUCUUCGGACCUUGCGCUAAUAGAUGAGCCUAAGUCAGAUUAGCUAGUUGGUGGGGUAAAGGCCUACCAAGGCGACGAUCUGUAGCGGGUCUGAGAGGAUGAUCCGCCACACUGGGACUGAGACACGGCCCAGACUCCUACGGGAGGCAGCAGUGGGGAAUAUUGGACAAUGGGCGAAAGCCUGAUCCAGCCAUGCCGCGUGUGUGAAGAAGGCCUUUUGGUUGUAAAGCACUUUAAGCGAGGAGGAGGCUACCGAGAUUAAUACUCUUGGAUAGUGGACGUUACUCGCAGAAUAAGCACCGGCUAACUCUGUGCCAGCAGCCGCGGUAAUACAGAGGGUGCGAGCGUUAAUCGGAUUUACUGGGCGUAAAGCGUGCGUAGGCGGCUUUUUAAGUCGGAUGUGAAAUCCCUGAGCUUAACUUAGGAAUUGCAUUCGAUACUGGGAAGCUAGAGUAUGGGAGAGGAUGGUAGAAUUCCAGGUGUAGCGG
Molecule: ribosomal RNA, 641 nt
Filed under: uncultured Gammaproteobacteria bacterium
Lineage: Bacteria; Pseudomonadati; Pseudomonadota; Gammaproteobacteria
Description: bacterial SSU rRNA
Rfam family: Bacterial small subunit ribosomal RNA
Source: RNAcentral